RNAcentral lists this ribosomal RNA (511 nucleotides) under uncultured bacterium. RNAcentral describes it as "bacterial SSU rRNA". It matches the Rfam family "Bacterial small subunit ribosomal RNA", at positions 15 to 518 of the family's 1533-position model. The record is from RNAcentral.
GAUUCUGGCUCAGGAUGAACGCUAGCUACAGGCUUAACACAUGCAAGUCGAGGGGCAGCAUUGGAGUAGCAAUACUUCAGAUGGCGACCGGCGCACGGGUGAGUAACACGUAUCCAACCUGCCGCUUACUCGGGGAUAGCCUUUCGAAAGAAAGAUUAAUACCCGAUGGUAUAAAGAGUUCGCAUGUUCUCUUUAUUAAAGAAUUUCGGUAAGCGAUGGGGAUGCGUUCCAUUAGAUUGUUGGCGGGGUAACGGCCCACCAAGUCUACGAUGGAUAGGGGUUCUGAGAGGAAGGUCCCCCACAUUGGAACUGAGACACGGUCCAAACUCCUACGGGAGGCAGCAGUGAGGAAUAUUGGUCAAUGGACGAGAGUCUGAACCAGCCAAGUAGCGUGAAGGAUGACUGCCCUAUGGGUUGUAAACUUCUUUUAUAAGGGAAUAAAGUGAGGGACGUGUCCCUUUUUGUAUGUACCUUAUGAAUAAGGAUCGGCUAACUCCGUGCCAGCCGCUGC